GGGUUGUGAGGUUAAGCGACUAAGCGUACACGGUGGAUGCCCUGGCAGUCAGAGGCGAUGAAGGACGUGCUAAUCUGCGAUAAGCGUCGGUGAGGUGAUAUGAACCGUUAUAACCGGCGAUUUCCGAAUGGGGAAACCCAGUGUGUUUCGACACACUAUCAUUAACUGAAUCCAUAGGUUAAUGAGGCGAACCGGGGGAACUGAAACAUCUAAGUACCCCGAGGAAAAGAAAUCAACCGAGAUUCCCCCAGUAGCGGCGAGCGAACGGGGAGGAGCCCAGAGCCUGAAUCAGUGUGUGUGUUAGUGGAAGCGUCUGGAAAGGCGCGCGAUACAGGGUGACAGCCCCGUACACAAAAAUGCACAUGCUGUGAGCUCGAUGAGUAGGGCGGGACACGUGGUAUCCUGUCUGAAUAUGGGGGGACCAUCCUCCAAGGCUAAAUACUCCUGACUGACCGAUAGUGAACCAGUACCGUGAGGGAAAGGCGAAAAGAACCCCGGCGAGGGGAGUGAAAAAGAACCUGAAACCGUGUACGUACAAGCAGUGGGAGCCUCUUUUAUGGGGUGACUGCGUACCUUUUGUAUAAUGGGUCAGCGACUUAUAUUCUGUAGCAAGGUUAACCGAAUAGGGGAGCCGAAGGGAAACCGAGUCUUAACUGGGCGUUAAGUUGCAGGGUAUAGACCCGAAACCCGGUGAUCUAGCCAUGGGCAGGUUGAAGGUUGGGUAACACUAACUGGAGGACCGAACCGACUAAUGUUGAAAAAUUAGCGGAUGACUUGUGGCUGGGGGUGAAAGGCCAAUCAAACCGGGAGAUAGCUGGUUCUCCCCGAAAGCUAUUUAGGUAGCGCCUCGUGAAUUCAUCUCCGGGGGUAGAGCACUGUUUCGGCAAGGGGGUCAUCCCGACUUACCAACCCGAUGCAAACUGCGAAUACCGGAGAAUGUUAUCACGGGAGACACACGGCGGGUGCUAACGUCCGUCGUGAAGAGGGAAACAACCCAGACCGCCAGCUAAGGUCCCAAAGUCAUGGUUAAGUGGGAAACGAUGUGGGAAGGCCCAGACAGCCAGGAUGUUGGCUUAGAAGCAGCCAUCAUUUAAAGAAAGCGUAAUAGCUCACUGGUCGAGUCGGCCUGCGCGGAAGAUGUAACGGGGCUAAACCAUGCACCGAAGCUGCGGCAGCGACACUAUGUGUUGUUGGGUAGGGGAGCGUUCUGUAAGCCUGUGAAGGUGGCCUGUGAGGGUUGCUGGAGGUAUCAGAAGUGCGAAUGCUGACAUAAGUAACGAUAAAGCGGGUGAAAAGCCCGCUCGCCGGAAGACCAAGGGUUCCUGUCCAACGUUAAUCGGGGCAGGGUGAGUCGACCCCUAAGGCGAGGCCGAAAGGCGUAGUCGAUGGGAAACAGGUUAAUAUUCCUGUACUUGGUGUUACUGCGAAGGGGGGACGGAGAAGGCUAUGUUGGCCGGGCGACGGUUGUCCCGGUUUAAGCGUGUAGGCUGGUUUUCCAGGCAAAUCCGGAAAAUCAAGGCUGAGGCGUGAUGACGAGGCACUACGGUGCUGAAGCGACAAAUGCCCUGCUUCCAGGAAAAGCCUCUAAGCAUCAGGUAACAUUAAAUCGUACCCCAAACCGACACAGGUGGUCAGGUAGAGAAUACCAAGGCGCUUGAGAGAACUCGGGUGAAGGAACUAGGCAAAAUGGUGCCGUAACUUCGGGAGAAGGCACGCUGAUAUGUAGGUGAAGCGACUUGCUCGUGGAGCUGAAAUCAGUCGAAGAUACCAGCUGGCUGCAACUGUUUAUUAAAAACACAGCACUGUGCAAACACGAAAGUGGACGUAUACGGUGUGACGCCUGCCCGGUGCCGGAAGGUUAAUUGAUGGGGUUAGCGGCAACGCGAAGCUCUUGAUCGAAGCCCCGGUAAACGGCGGCCGUAACUAUAACGGUCCUAAGGUAGCGAAAUUCCUUGUCGGGUAAGUUCCGACCUGCACGAAUGGCGUAAUGAUGGCCAGGCUGUCUCCACCCGAGACUCAGUGAAAUUGAACUCGCUGUGAAGAUGCAGUGUACCCGCGGCAAGACGGAAAGACCCCGUGAACCUUUACUAUAGCUUGACACUGAACAUUGAGCCUUGAUGUGUAGGAUAGGUGGGAGGCUUUGAAGUGUGGACGCCAGUCUGCAUGGAGCCGACCUUGAAAUACCACCCUUUAAUGUUUGAUGUUCUAACGUGGGCCCGUAAUCCGGGUUGCGGACAGUGUCUGGUGGGUAGUUUGACUGGGGCGGUCUCCUCCUAAAGAGUAACGGAGGAGCACGAAGGUUGGCUAAUCCUGGUCGGACAUCAGGAGGUUAGUGCAAUGGCAUAAGCCAGCUUGACUGCGAGCGUGACGGCGCGAGCAGGUGCGAAAGCAGGUCAUAGUGAUCCGGUGGUUCUGAAUGGAAGGGCCAUCGCUCAACGGAUAAAAGGUACUCCGGGGAUAACAGGCUGAUACCGCCCAAGAGUUCAUAUCGACGGCGGUGUUUGGCACCUCGAUGUCGGCUCAUCACAUCCUGGGGCUGAAGUAGGUCCCAAGGGUAUGGCUGUUCGCCAUUUAAAGUGGUACGCGAGCUGGGUUUAGAACGUCGUGAGACAGUUCGGUCCCUAUCUGCCGUGGGCGCUGGAGAACUGAGGGGGGCUGCUCCUAGUACGAGAGGACCGGAGUGGACGCAUCACUGGUGUUCGGGUUGUCAUGCCAAUGGCACUGCCCGGUAGCUAAAUACGGAAGAGAUAAGUGCUGAAAGCAUCUAAGCACGAAACUUGCCCCGAGAUGAGUUCUCCCUGACCCUUUAAGGGUCCUGAAGGAACGUUGAAGACGACGACGUUGAUAGGCCGGGUGUGUAAGCGCAGCGAUGCGUUGAGCUAACCGGUACUAAUGAACCGUGAGGCUUAACCUUACAACGCCGAAG
This 2926-nucleotide ribosomal RNA is filed under the name Escherichia coli. RNAcentral's name for it is "23S ribosomal RNA". It matches the Rfam family "Bacterial large subunit ribosomal RNA". The record is from RNAcentral. Lineage: Bacteria; Pseudomonadati; Pseudomonadota; Gammaproteobacteria; Enterobacterales; Enterobacteriaceae.